This 566-nucleotide ribosomal RNA is filed under the name uncultured Verrucomicrobiota bacterium. RNAcentral describes it as "bacterial SSU rRNA". It matches the Rfam family "Bacterial small subunit ribosomal RNA", at positions 70 to 611 of the family's 1533-position model. The record is from RNAcentral. Lineage: Bacteria; Pseudomonadati; Verrucomicrobiota.
UAGAGGGUAGCAAUAUUCUCUAGUUGGAGUGGCGCAAGGGUGCGUAACACGUGGACAAUCUGCCGUGAAGACUGGGAUAACUCGCUGAAAGGCGAGCUAAUACCGGAUGAGACUUUUGGGAGGCAUCUCCUGGAAUUGGAAGCUGGGGACCCGCAAGGGCCUGGCGCUUCACGAUGAGCCCGCGGCCUAUCAGCUAGUUGGUGAGGUAAUGGCCCACCAAGGCUAAGACGGGUAGCUGGUCUGAGAGGACGACCAGCCACACUGGAACUGAGACACGGUCCAGACACCUACGGGUGGCAGCAGUCGAGAAUUUUUCACAAUGGGCGCAAGCCUGAUGGAGCGACGCCGCGUGGGGGAUGAAGGGUUUCGAUCCGUAAACCCCUGUCAUUUGCGAACAAACCUUAUGGAAUAACACUCCAUGAGCUGAUUGUAGUGAAAGAGGAAGGGACGGGUAACUCUGUGCCAGCAGCCGCGGUAAUACAGAGGUCCCAAGCGUUGUUCGGAUUCACUGGGCGUAAAGGGUGCGUAGGUGGCCGUGGAAGUUUGAUGUGAAAGCUCGGAGCUCA